AUGCAGUCGACGAGAUUAAGGUGCUUGCACCUUAUGAAAGUGGCGCACGGGUGCGUAACGCGUAUGCAACCUACCUUAAUCAGGGGGAUAGCCCGAAGAAAUUCGGAUUAACACCGCAUAAAAUCACAGGACGGCAUUGUCCAAUGAUCAAAUAUUUAUAGGAUUAAGAUGGGCAUGCGUGUCAUUAGCUAGUUGGCGGGGUAACGGCCCACCAAGGCGACGAUGACUAGGGGAUCUGAGAGGAUGGCCCCCCACACUGGUACUGAGACACGGACCAGACUCCUACGGGAGGCAGCAGUAAGGAAUAUUGGUCAAUGGAGGGAACUCUGAACCAGCCAUGCCGCGUGCAGGAAGACAGCCCUCUGGGUCGUAAACUGCUUUUAUUCGGGAAUAAACCUACUUACGUGUAAGUAGCUGAAUGUACCGAAGGAAUAAGGAUCGGCUAACUCCGUGCCAGCAGCCGCGGUAAUACGGAGGAUCCAAGCGUUAUCCGGAUUUAUUGGGUUUAAAGGGUGCGUAGGCGGCUUAUUAAGUCAGGGGUGAAAGACGGUGGCUCAACCAUCGCAGUGCCCUUGAUACUGAUGAGCUUGAAUACAUUAGAGGUAGGCGGAAUGUGACAAGUAGCGGUGAAAUGCAUAGAUAUGUCACAGAACACCGAUUGCGAAGGCAGCUUACAAUGGUGUGAUUGACGCUGAGGCGCGAAAGCGUGGGGAUCAAACAGGAUUAGAUACCCUGGUAGUCCACGCCCUAAACGAUGAUACUCGCUGUUAGCGAUAUACAGUUAGCGGCUAAGCGAAAGCGUUAAGUAUUCCACCUGGGGGAGUACGCCCGCAAG
This 835-nucleotide ribosomal RNA is filed under the name uncultured bacterium. RNAcentral's name for it is "bacterial SSU rRNA". It matches the Rfam family "Bacterial small subunit ribosomal RNA", at positions 55 to 892 of the family's 1533-position model. The record is from RNAcentral.